GGUUCUCCCGCAACGCUACUCUGUUUACCAGGUCAGGUCCGGAAGGAAGCAGCCAAGGCAGAUGACGCGUGUGCCGGGAUGUAGCUGGCAGGG
This 93-nucleotide signal recognition particle RNA is filed under the name Escherichia coli. RNAcentral describes it as "partial signal recognition particle sRNA small type". It matches the Rfam family "Bacterial small signal recognition particle RNA". Rfam says of the family: The signal recognition particle (SRP) is a universally conserved ribonucleoprotein involved in the co-translational targeting of proteins to membranes. Archaeal SRP consists of a 7S RNA and homologues of the eukaryotic SRP19 and SRP54 proteins. Lineage: Bacteria; Pseudomonadati; Pseudomonadota; Gammaproteobacteria; Enterobacterales; Enterobacteriaceae. The record is from RNAcentral.